AGUGCUCACUACAAGUUUCCCUUCAAAAAUAUCACUAAAAGAGGAUCCAAAAAUUUAAACAGCAGUACAAAAAGGACGCUAAGAACUGUAUUUCCCUAUUUAUUUUUUUGCCAUUUUACAAAUAGUAAUGUAGGUUUCUGGUAAAGUAAAUUGUUAUCUUUGAGUUGAAAUUAAAAAAAAAAAAAAACUUAAUCGAAUGAUGCGAUUAAUAUCUACAUGAAAAAUGCUCAUUGUAACGGAUUGGUUGGAGUAAGUCAAAGAAAAUAUUUUUAUAGAGAGUUGCAGAGAAGAAGAUUAAGAUAAAGGGCAGGCGACAUCCAUCAAGCUAGAUUCUUCAACUGGCCCUCACAUUUCCCACAAUUGCGUCCACAUACACACAGUUACGUUCUUUCCAGACACUCCCUCUGCAUGAUCAGAUUGAGAAAUAUGAGAGGUGGAAAGGGUCAUGAAAUGUUUUGUUGCAACAUAAGUGACGCUUAAAAGAAGAGUCGGAAUCACUUGGACAGUAUUUGAGUCUGGUCUAAAUAGAGUCUUUUCUUGUAUUCUUUUGGCUGGGAGGGCACAGUCCGAUGAAAGAGGUCUUUUGGGUAUGGCCAGUACAUUUAUGGGCGUGGGUUGCAUUUUAUGAAAGAGGUAUGAGCAUAAAUUCAAGGCCAUUAAGAGCUUGAAGCAACAUGUUACAAAAUUAAGCUAAAAUGAAGUUUGAAGUUGCUUGAGUGUUCCCAAGCUUUUUACUUAAGUAUUGCACAUAAUCCAUUAACAUUCGGAUGGAGGUACAAAAAGACAAGGGGAAUUAAGAAUGUGAGAGCAUUUUCCGGGGGAAGGUGAUGCAACCGAUCAGAAGGGACAGAUAAGGAUAAGAGUCAUAACAUCCUUAUCACUUGGGGUCCACAAGAUCGCCCUGUAAGAUAUGGAUGCAUCUUCAGGCGAAUGAGUCUUUAAUUCCGGCCAAUUCUUUUGGGCUGGGCCUUCCAGAGCCCAACUUUCUCCUAUAAAUGCUACAUGGCCGCAAACCAAAUGCAUACAUUCAGUGGCCAUAUAUUUAUGCUCUGUUUUAAUUUUGAGAAUUUGUGAGGAGAAAACAAGUCCCUUAUGGGCAAAAACUUUUAAUUUUUAUUCAUGUUUUUCAUGACACUUUUUUCCAUUGUAGUUUGCUAGAUAUUUUUGUGUGCUCUUUAUUUAAGUAUGCUUUUCUUUA
Salvia miltiorrhiza (redroot sage) is the source of this 1198-nucleotide long non-coding RNA. RefSeq lists it as uncharacterized. The transcript has 3 exons. The record is from RefSeq and is a predicted model, not a curated record. Lineage: Eukaryota; Viridiplantae; Streptophyta; Magnoliopsida; Lamiales; Lamiaceae.